RNAcentral lists this ribosomal RNA (492 nucleotides) under Bacillus pumilus. RNAcentral's name for it is "bacterial SSU rRNA". It matches the Rfam family "Bacterial small subunit ribosomal RNA", at positions 11 to 488 of the family's 1533-position model. Lineage: Bacteria; Bacillati; Bacillota; Bacilli; Caryophanales; Bacillaceae. The record is from RNAcentral.
AAUUGAUCCUGGCUCAGGACGAACGCUGGCGGCGUGCCUAAUACAUGCAAGUCGAGCGGACAGAAGGGAGCUUGCUCCCGGAUGUUAGCGGCGGACGGGUGAGUAACACGUGGGUAACCUGCCUGUAAGACUGGGAUAACUCCGGGAAACCGGAGCUAAUACCGGAUAGUUCCUUGAACCGCAUGGUUCAAGGAUGAAAGACGGUUUCGGCUGUCACUUACAGAUGGACCCGCGGCGCAUUAGCUAGUUGGUGGGGUAAUGGCUCACCAAGGCGACGAUGCGUAGCCGACCUGAGAGGGUGAUCGGCCACACUGGGACUGAGACACGGCCCAGACUCCUACGGGAGGCAGCAGUAGGGAAUCUUCCGCAAUGGACGAAAGUCUGACGGAGCAACGCCGCGUGAGUGAUGAAGGUUUUCGGAUCGUAAAGCUCUGUUGUUAGGGAAGAACAAGUGCGAGAGUAACUGCUCGCACCUGACGGUACCAACCAGAA